RNAcentral lists this long non-coding RNA (1043 nucleotides) under Anas platyrhynchos platyrhynchos (common mallard). Its description in RNAcentral is "lncRNA (ENSAPLG00000027902.1)". The record is from RNAcentral. Lineage: Eukaryota; Metazoa; Chordata; Aves; Anseriformes; Anatidae.
CACCUGCUUCUGGGCCAGAGACAUCAUGUGCUUUUCAUUACCAUCAUUAGUCAUUGUCAGUACAUCUUGUUACAAGAGCAAAGCAUAAAAGAUCAAGACUGCUGGCCCCCCUGUAAUAAUGUAGUGUAUACUGAAGACUUUUAUGUAUUUUGCAUAGGUAUAGGACUGAGUGAAAUGCUUAGACAGUAUCUGAGAUGUUAGUUAUUUUUAGCUGUCCUAGUGUAGUUAUUUAGAAUUAAAACUUUCUUGUUGCUGUCACUGUGUUCUGCUAUCCUGCAGCUGUUCUGCAUCCCCUGUGAAGGCAGAGAGGGGCUGACAGUCACCAUGUUCUCCCAUUUGGUGGGCUGCAGUCAGGAAAAAGUGGAGCCUGCUCUACCUAAUGACCUACAAAACCCUCCCCUGUUCAUGACAAAAUCUAAACCUGUGCUUCAGUACUUCUGGUUGCAUGGCCAAGGAAGGUCCUCUUGGAGCUGUUCUUUUCCAUGUGUUGUGACUGCAUCACCAACAACUCCUCUCAAGAAAAAUUAUAAAGAGAGAAGCUACUUUGUCUCUCAGUCCCUUGCAUCUUUGCCCUCUUUUCUGAGAAUGACAAGCAAGACCAGCUGUGAUGAUGUUUUCUGAAGGAAAUAAGAAGCCUUAUUUAUACUGUGUCAACUGAGAAUCCCAAACAUGCUUAACAUGCUUUGGACUUCUGAGUAGCCCAGUGAAGCCAAGCACAAUGUUGCUGAUGGUUAUGGUGAGGCCAAGAUUCUGUAUGCACUUUUUCAUUAAAUAGGGCUGGAAAAACUGCAUGAAGUAUCUUUUUUUCCUCGUCUCCAUUUUCAGUUCCAGACUAAGACAGAGUCAGAGCUUCAUGAAAGCCCAGAUACUAUUUUCUUUCUUUCUUUUUUUUUUUUUUUUUUUAAAGUAAUUAUUUGAUUCUUUGUAUAUUUGUGGGGGUUACAGUAUGUACAACUAAUGUGACUCAGGCUCAGGAUCAAAAGUCUGGGUUGACUAUGACUGAACUUCUAAUUUCCUCCAUACUAAGUCACCCAACCUUUCUC